UUAAUUCCAGAAAUAGUAACAAAAUUUACCUUUAUAAAUUAGCCACUAAAAUUUCAUACUUUCAUCGACCGAUUUUCUAUAUUAAACGAAGAAAUAGGUAUGCGCUCUAACCCUAGCUCUAAAUCAAUAAGCACAUAUAUACUUUCCACACACGUACACAAAUAUAUAUAUAUAUAUAUAUAUAUAUAUAUAUAUAUAUAUAUAUGUUAUUGUCUUUAUUAAUUACUUGUUUUAUAGGGCAUGCACUAGUAGUGUACAUGCAUGCUUAAUUUAAUUUAGUAUUCGUGGAAAAAUAAUUAAUAAACUUAUGCAUGUUCAUCAGGGAAGGACUUGACAAAGAUUUUAAUCAUGAAGGUCUUCAUGUUAAUAAUGUUGGUGCUGAUUUCGGUAACUUUUGAAACCAACGCAGUAAAUCGCAGGCUUCUUCUUCUUCAAAGAGAUGAUGUGAAUUAUGUUUGUAAGGGUAUAAAUAGUAGUGGGAACAAAUUAGGAGGAUCAGCUGCUCAUGAAAAUAAUAAUAAUACUCCUACUAUUAUUAAUAAUAAGCAGGUGGGUGUUGAGCUAGAUCGUGACGAUGAUGAUGAGAACGAGAGAGGGAAAGGAGAUUCGGGAACAUCUUCUGGAUCUGUACACAAGCAUAGAUCUAAUAACGACCGCCCUGGAGGAUCCCAUCCAUAAAUAUAUAUAUAUAUAUAUAUAUAUAUAUAUAUAUAUAUAUAUAUGUGUGUGUGUGUGUGUGUGUGUGUGUGUGUGUGUGUGUGUGUGGGUGUGGAGUAGCGCUAGCUUGCUUAUCUGCAGAGUAGAUUUGUUUUUAAUGAAGUUGAGAUUUUAUAAAAUUAAUAAGUUCAAUAUAAAAAAAAAUGAGUUGUAUUCAUAUAGCACAAACGUACAAGCCAGCGUUUCACUUUUGUGCUAUAUAUGUACAUGCAAUUUAUUUUUAUACUUAUUAAACUUGUCCAAUUAAUUUCCUAAAAAGAUCAACUUCACUAAAUUCAAAUUAUUCUAAAGCUAGUUGUAUGUAGAUAAAUAUAUAUAUGCAUGGGAAGAUGAAGUGUUUGUGUAAAAUUGGUAAUAAUGUGACUCCAUCGAGUAUCACAGCGUAUGUUUAGCACGUUAUGAGAUGUACAAGUUUGUUGAUGUAAAUAUAUAUAUAUAUAUAUAUAUAUAUAUAUAUAUAUAUAUGUGUGUGUGUGUGACUGCAAAUUAAAGGAUGCCUCGCUGGCUAUGUACUGUAAAUUUACAUGUCUUCAAAUAAAAUAAUAUGGCUGCCAUGCAGCAUGCAUAAGUUAAUUGCUUCUUCAUAGAAUCAUAGUACUCUCUCCGUUUUUAGUUGGUUUUAG
RNAcentral lists this long non-coding RNA (1340 nucleotides) under Panax ginseng (ginseng). RNAcentral describes it as "long non-coding RNA (PGIN_LNC012835)". Lineage: Eukaryota; Viridiplantae; Streptophyta; Magnoliopsida; Apiales; Araliaceae. The record is from RNAcentral.